CCACAGCAACCAUGAGCUUUACCAACUCGACCACGCCGAACCCUGAAUUUGUUUUUAUUACGACGAUUUUUCAAUAGAUUCUCAACUGUUGGUUGAACCUACCUGUAUGCCCUGGUUGUUUAGCUCUGUUAUCUGGGACUUGAGGUCACCCAGAGAUUUGAUGUCUUUACCCAGCGACAAGACGGCCACCUUCUUGGAGUUCUCCCUGCCACCGUGUUCCGCUGUGUAGGCUUUUGUUCCCAGAUACUG
Physella acuta is the source of this 249-nucleotide long non-coding RNA. RefSeq lists it as uncharacterized. NCBI's taxonomy places the organism in Eukaryota, Metazoa, Mollusca, Gastropoda, Physidae. The record is from RefSeq and is a predicted model, not a curated record.